This is a small nucleolar RNA of Callithrix jacchus (white-tufted-ear marmoset), 105 nucleotides long. NCBI's taxonomy places the organism in Eukaryota, Metazoa, Chordata, Mammalia, Primates, Cebidae. The record is from Ensembl.
AUCCUUUUGUAGUUCAUGAGCAUGAUGACUGGGUGUUCCUGCGCAUGUGUGAGAUGUGCCACUCUCUGAAGCUUGUUACAACAUUGGCACCUUACUUGUCUAACC